UUCAGGUGUGUGUUAGCACAGAGCCACAAUCGGACAUCCCAGCAAAUUCAUCGUGAGGUCCGAGUGUGGAGAUAAACCCAAGAGCUCUAUACUCUGCUGGCCUCAGUCAGCAGGUUAAAGGUCAAAGUUCAUAAGAGCAGAAUUAGAAACAGACUGAAGUAUGGCUUGUUUGGAAGUCUGCAGGAGAAAGCCUCUUCUCCCUAAAGGAGCAGAACAGCACGGUUUGGGUUUGCAACACUGAAUCAGAACAAAACAAAGACUUCUGGAACCAAAAAGCAAAGUGAGGUGUUUUCCCAUAAUGCACAGCAGCACGUUUGGAGGAAACAAACUGAGUGGAACUCCUCUGUAUUCCAAAGUGCUCUAGAGUCAGCGUGAGGCCGUCUGUCCCACAGCUGAAGCUUGGACCAAACAGGACAGCGAUCCCAGCACAGCAGCAAAGAACGGAGCUGCUGCAGUGGUCCAAGGUCCAGACCUGAGCCUGACUGAGAGGCUGUGCAUGAACCAAUGCUGCGAACCUGAACGAGCUGAAGCAUCGCUGAGAAGAAGAGAGGACCAAAGUUUGUCCACAGAGAUGAGACAGACUCACAGAAACAUCAGUGCAGGAUAAAAGAGCCCAUCCAGGGUCGGCCUUGCAGGUAGAAUGAGAGGCUCAGACAUUCAGGAGCUGAGAGCAGAGUCACCGAUCCAGUACAUCAGGACUUUCAGCAUAACAGCACAUAUAAGGUCCAGACUUCCUGUGCCAUCCCGCUGAUUUUUCUACAGGUACCCAAAGCCUGCCCAGCAUGUGAUUGGUCAGUCGACUGCAAACAGAAACCAAAGAUCAUCUAUUGAUCGUGCAUUUUCAUAUCACUUAUGUCUGUUUGUAGAUGCUGCCCAGGUUCAUAAUGCACUCAUAGAUCCAGAGUUACAUCAGUGUAAACUUGCUGCAGUGGCUGAGACGCCCCGAGAACAUUUCCCUGCUCGGUUCAUCGUUUCAGUUCGACACGGCUGUAAAUCCGCAGAGAGCUCGCCGUCCUCGGCGACUCAGUGAGCAUGCUCGGAACAGGCUGAGGCCUCCGCAGCCCGAGGAUGCUCUCAGGGAGCAGCUGCUUCAAAUGCACACGACAAAGGUUACGUGUUGUUAGCAAACUAAUGCUAAAUGAAUAACCUGUGGCUCAAACAUAAAGACAUAAAUGUGAAAACUUGUCCUCACCUGCAGCAGCGUCUGAAACAAAAUGGCAGCAAGGUUAAACAAAGCAGCAGCGCAGCACCAAGUUUGUCUGUUUAUUCUGCAGCGCCGCCAACUCUGAAGGUUAAUUACAGCUCUGACCUUUCCACCUUCCUCUUCCACUCCUCUAAUUUCUUGCUCUUCUUCCUCCCCCGCUCACUUCACUUCAUCCUGCUGACUCUGAAGCCACGCAGGAAUCAAACCUGGCAGGACGCGGCCCUCCUCCACACGUCCGCUGUCAGAGGCUGCACUUCUUUCUAUCUUCACCUCCUCCUCCUCCUCCUCCAGUCUGGUCAUUAUCAAUCCCUCCAUCACUCUGUCAUUUAUUUGUUUACGUCCCUGCUUUUCUCUCCUGACCAGACUGACUCAUUCUCCCAGAGAGUAAUAAAAUCUGUGUGUGUGUGUGUGUGUGUAGCAUGAAUUAACCACAAUGCUCUUUAUUGCUGCAUCUCAGCGCAGCUCUAAAGUGCUGCAAUUACAGCACUCUCCCAAAGAAAUCUCAGCCUCCUUCGCUCUCACCGUUCUCAGUAACACAAAGUUUUGACAUCAGUGUGUGAAAAGGUUUUUAUUUUUUGGAUAGAAACUAAAGAAACUGAUGAUUCAUACAACAAAGAGGCUUUAUCACCCUGACGCCAAGAUAGAAAUGUUAAAAAAGACUCGGGGAUGUCAGGAGCUGAUGUGUUCACAA
This is a long non-coding RNA of Oreochromis niloticus (Nile tilapia), 1895 nucleotides long. RefSeq lists it as uncharacterized. NCBI's taxonomy places the organism in Eukaryota, Metazoa, Chordata, Actinopteri, Cichliformes, Cichlidae. The record is from RefSeq and is a predicted model, not a curated record. The transcript has 3 exons.